This is a non-coding RNA of Exophiala sp. CCFEE 6388, 140 nucleotides long. NCBI's taxonomy places the organism in Eukaryota, Fungi, Ascomycota, Eurotiomycetes, Chaetothyriales, Herpotrichiellaceae. The record is from the annotation of a GenBank genome assembly.
GUCGAUUUAGCUCAGUUGGGAGAGCGUCAGACUGAAGUUUACUUCGGUUCAAAAAUCUGAAGGUUUGUGUCCCACUUGAUUGACUUCAAUGCCUAUAUUGACUUUUCACCAGGUCCUGUGUUCAAUCCACAUAAUCGACA